GUGUCAGAAGAGGUAGUGUUAUUUUUUGUUCCAUGCUAUCCGAGACGACCAGCGCGACAAUUGUAUGCUUUUCUGUAUUGGUCGAGACGAGGAGAGACGCAUCGGUUAUCGAAAAUUAAUUGCUUAUUCCAAAACAAUGGCUCGGGGCGACAGGCGUGAUCGAAACUGUGUAGAGGCCACUAACCAGAAACGACACGAAACAAAAAUGCACAGGACAACAUUCCAAUAGACUACUACUGACAGAGAGAUAAGCAAAAGAAGAAUAUUUAAAGACCGCGUGAAGGUAGUUUCAUAACCUGCAGGAGUAGAUGUGAAACACGGUGAGAGGUAGAGGUGAUGGACGCACUGCUUCGGAAGCAUAAACACAUAAUGGCUAUUGUUGCGAGCCGAUUUGAACCGACAGAUUUGGCGGCGUAACAGGAUUACACAUCUAAUUACUCCAGGAAGAAGAUAACAAAAGCAUUCGUCCUUUUGUUUACGCUUGCUUUUCCAACGCGUUACCCAAAAACAUUAGAAAAUUGGAG
Toxorhynchites rutilus septentrionalis is the source of this 524-nucleotide long non-coding RNA. RefSeq lists it as uncharacterized. Lineage: Eukaryota; Metazoa; Arthropoda; Insecta; Diptera; Culicidae. The transcript is spliced from 3 exons. The record is from RefSeq and is a predicted model, not a curated record.